Hyaena hyaena (striped hyena) is the source of this 1282-nucleotide long non-coding RNA. RefSeq lists it as uncharacterized. The record is from RefSeq and is a predicted model, not a curated record. Lineage: Eukaryota; Metazoa; Chordata; Mammalia; Carnivora; Hyaenidae. The transcript is spliced from 2 exons.
AAUGAACUCUGCUGGCCUGUCGUUUGGAGGAGGGGCUGGAAAGUUGGCACAUGAUGGUGAAGACUCACUCCGAUGCCAGCACGUGCAUCCAUCAACCAGAGGAUAAACAGAGCCAGAAAUCAAGGUGGUGGGUUCUCUCAGUGAAGCGAAACUUCCAGCCACCUCCAUGGUGGGGAAGGUGGGGUUAGAAUUUCAAAUGCAUUCAGAGGCAGGCUGAGGGAGAAAGGUGGAGGGAGUUACUUUCCACUUUUAGAAAGAAGGGAAAGAGGUAAAAACUGUUCCUCUAAGGAGGUAGAAUCCAGGGACAGCCUCUUUCCUGAUGAGAGUCCAAGUGGCUGGACUCUCCUCCUGUGGAAAUGGGGUAACUGAGGUUACUCACUGAGCUUUUAAUGGUCUCUGGGUCCCUAGUCUGAACUACAGUCUCCACCGCCCCCACCAGUGGAGCACUAGACAUGUAGUGUGGUGACUCCAGCACAGGACAGCAGGUGGGCUAUCCAAGCAGGUGGAUCUUGUCCCUAAUUGUUCUUUGUGUGUCUGAGACUGGCACACGUUGUGUUUCUAGAUAUAAAAAGAUUCUCUAGUUGAAUAUGUGGACAAGAUAGAAUAACAACACAGAGCCCCUCCCUCAAGAGACUAUAAGAGGUGAUGAAGGAUCAUUUCACAGAGAAAAAAAGUACCAGCCAUCUGAAACCAGAGUCCCACCACCCAUUCACAAGCGUCCAGAUCCUUCAAAUCUCUAGGGAGAGAUGAGCGGUCACACGAGGUAAACCCACGAUGGAAACGACAGACUGGAGGAUGUGCUGUGAGGUAUGCUGAAGUCAGGAACUAGUCACCCACUUCAGGAUUAGGACCAAAAAGAGCCAAGUGCCAGGUUCACACUGUUAACCAAAAGAGAUGUCCAGGGUGAAUUUUAAAGUACCAAAAGCUGAGUGUUGUUAGGGCACUCAAUAAACACAUCUUGCCAGAGUCUUAAAAGUGUGUCCCCUAUUUAUGGGCAAGAUGUAAUUUACACAUAAGUGUAGAACUUUUUAGAUUCAACCCCAAAUUCUCCAAAGAUGAGAGUGGUACAGAGAAGGGGAUACCUUUAGCUCUACAGUGCCUGUUCUAGCCUCCUUGGUCAGCUGGGCCCUGCUCUCCCACAUCCGUCACGGCUACUGCUUCCUGCCCCACUGGCCAGCAGGGCAGCAUCUCUCAGCCCAUCACCUAGCGAGGCCCUAACAGUUCUAACCACAUACUCCCUUAAUAAAUCAACUAAGACCUCUUUUAAAAAGUGACACUACAA